Molecule: long non-coding RNA, 807 nt
Organism: Homarus americanus (American lobster)
Lineage: Eukaryota; Metazoa; Arthropoda; Malacostraca; Decapoda; Nephropidae
Exons: 5
Source: RefSeq, a predicted model, not a curated record
UUACGUGUUGAAAGUCUCAAGAGAAACAGGUUAGGUGUUGACUCUAUGAUGGUGAUAGCUACAGUGCCAGUGCCCUGCCCGGCGUCACAUGCCCAGCCCUGGCUGGCCGCCUUUGCUGCGUCAGGCGUCUAUACACAAACAAGCUCCCCUUACUACCACCCAACACCCAACCACCUCUGGGUCUCUCCAUCUCCACCAUCUCAAUAAUCUAUAUACUGUAUACUCAUUACUGUUUGCGGUAUCAGUGAUAGUUAAUAUUUCAGAUGUAAGCAAACAUAUUAAUCAUACCAAUGUGUUUCAGAUGCAGUGGCUCAUUAUGCAAGAUGGUGGACAACACCAUCCUGAUGAUUAUAAUGGGGAGAAGAACUCUGUGGGGCUGGAUAUUGGACAAGAGUGCAGUAUCAACGUCAUGUGAAUCACCAGACAACAGAGAGCAGCAGUGACCCUUGUACUGCUGUAACAAUCACCACUCAGCGUCAUGAAGAGACCCAACAAGAACCUUCUGCACGCUGCAGUAGGGUCUUCAGUGGUACUGGUCUUGUAUUUAAAUAUUUGUGUGGCCGACUGUGGACCCACAACAAGGUGCUUCCUGGAGGUGGUAAAGAUACAUUGUGAUGGAGGCAUCAUCACGAUUUCACAUUAUCUAUCAAGCAUUUCCUAACGCAACGUUUAUAAUGGACUCCUUAAGGCAAAACUGACUUCCAUUCAACACUUGGUGUGCAGUGUCUAGAUUGUCAACAUUCCGUCAACACUUGGUGUGCAGUGUCCAGAUUGUCAACAUUCCGUAAGUAAAAUCCCUACUGUACU